Molecule: unclassified non-coding RNA, 294 nt
Filed under: uncultured Sebacina
Lineage: Eukaryota; Fungi; Basidiomycota; Agaricomycetes; Sebacinales; Sebacinaceae
Description: sequence contains 5.8S rRNA gene
Source: RNAcentral
GAACGCACCUUGCACCCUUUGGUAUUCCGAAGGGUAUGCUCGUUUGAGUGUCAUUGUAUUCUCACACUUCCGAUCUUUGGGUUGGGAGCGGUGGACUUGGGUUUGCUGCUUCACCGUGGCUCACCUCAAAUAGGUUAGUGCAGCUCUUGGUUGGACAUAGUACGGCGUGAUAAGUGUUUUUCGCCGGUGCCUCGCAAAGAGGGUGGCCGAUCGGGAUGUUGUGCUCCAAACCGUCUUCGGACAAUCUCUGACGACUUGACCUCAAAUCGAGUAAGACUACCCGCUGAACUUAAG